This 312-nucleotide ribosomal RNA is filed under the name uncultured Glomus. Its description in RNAcentral is "SSU rRNA". It matches the Rfam family "Eukaryotic small subunit ribosomal RNA", at positions 570 to 886 of the family's 1831-position model. The record is from RNAcentral. Lineage: Eukaryota; Fungi; Glomeromycota; Glomeromycetes; Glomerales; Glomeraceae.
GCAGCCGCGGUAAUUCCAGCUCCAAUAGCGUAUAUUAAAGUUGUUGCAGUUAAAAAGCUCGUAGUUGAAUUUCGGGAUCAUCAGGUUGGUCGUGCCUCUGGUAUGUACUGAUUUCGAUGGUUCCUCCUUCUUGUAGAACCAUAAUGCCAUUAAUUUGGUGUUGCGGGAAAACAGGACUGUUACUUUGAAAAAAUUAGAGUGUUUAAAGCAGGCAAUCGCUUGAAUACAUUAGCAUGGAAUAAUGAAAUAGGACGUUUGAUCCUAUUUUGUUGGUUUCUAGGAUUGACGUAAUGAUUAAUAGGGAUAGUUGGG